This is a long non-coding RNA of Chinchilla lanigera (long-tailed chinchilla), 445 nucleotides long. RefSeq lists it as uncharacterized. NCBI's taxonomy places the organism in Eukaryota, Metazoa, Chordata, Mammalia, Rodentia, Chinchillidae. The transcript has 3 exons. The record is from RefSeq and is a predicted model, not a curated record.
GUAUAUACGGUAGGUAAGUGCAAGUCAUUAAGGGUUUUUCGAUCAGGAAGAUGGCAUAAACAGAGGUGUGUUUUUAAAAUAUAACCGGCAGCAUUAAUGCAAUAAAUAGGUUUCUAACAAGAGGCAAGAGGCAGGGAGCCUACUCAGGAGAACACAGGGCCAUACACUGUGACAGAUGAUGACAGCCUCAGCUGAGCAAGGAGUCCUUCCAAAUAGUGUGAACUCAUCGGCUUCCCUGUAACUCUACAGAACUCACACUGCCAUAUAACUGGAAAUCAGAGAGGAGGACAUAAUACCUUUGUCUUCUGGAAAAUGCAGAAAGCAACAAGGCACCAUCUUGGAGAUGUUUACAGAACCUCACCUGGCCCUCAACUUGCCUAUGCCUUGAAAUGGGACUUCCUAGACUCAAAAGUGUGAGAAAUAAACUUCCAUUAUUGCUAAAUUA